This 599-nucleotide ribosomal RNA is filed under the name uncultured bacterium. RNAcentral describes it as "bacterial SSU rRNA". It matches the Rfam family "Bacterial small subunit ribosomal RNA", at positions 338 to 949 of the family's 1533-position model. The record is from RNAcentral.
CCUACGGGAGGCAGCAGUGGGGAAUAUUGGGCAAUGGAGGAAACUCUGACCCAGCGACGCCGCGUGCGGGAUGAAGGCCUUCGGGUUGUAAACCGCUUUCAGUAGGGAAGAAGCGAAAGUGACGGUACCUACAGAAGAAGCACCGGCUAACUAUGUGCCAGCAGCCGCGGUAAUACAUAGGGUGCAAGCGUUGUCCGGAAUUAUUGGGCGUAAAGAGCUCGUAGGUGGUUCGUCACGUCGGAUGUGAAAAUCUGGGGCUCAACCCCAGACCUGCAUUCGAUACGGGCGAUCUAGAGUGUGGUAGGGGAGACUGGAAUUCCUGGUGUAGCGGUGGAAUGCGCAGAUAUCAGGAGGAACACCAAUGGCGAAGGCAGGUCUCUGGGCCAUUACUGACACUGAGGAGCGAAAGCGUGGGGAGCGAACAGGAUUAGAUACCCUGGUAGUCCACGCCGUAAACGGUGGGCACUAGUUGUGGGAACCUUCCACGGUUUCUGCGACGCAGCUAACGCAUUAAGUGCCCCGCCUGGGGAGUACGAUCGCAAGAUUAAAACUCAAAUGAAUUGACGGCUGAGACGNGCGACGACGACGACGAGGGAGAG